CCUACGGGAGGCAGCAGUGGGGGAUAUUGCACAAUGGGGGGAACCCUGAUGCAGCGACGCCGCGUGGGUGAAGAAGCGCCUCGGCGCGUAAAGCCCUGUCAGCAGGGAAGAAAAUGACGGUACCUGAAGAAGAAGCCCCGGCUAACUACGUGCCAGGAGCCGCGGUAAUACGUAGGGGGCCAGCGUUAUCCGGAUUUACUGGGUGUAAAGGGGGCGCAGACGGCGAUGCAAGCCAGGAGGUAAAGCCCGGGGGCCAACCCCGGGAAUGCCCUUGGAACUGCGUGGCUGGAGUACAGGAGGGGCAGGCGGAAUACCUGGAGUAGCGGUGAAAUGCAUAGAUAUCAGGAGGAACACCGGUGGCGAAGGCGGCCUGCUAGACUGCAACUGACGUUGAGGCCCGAGAGCAUGGGGAGCAAACAGGAUUAGAUACCCCAGUAGUC
Molecule: ribosomal RNA, 440 nt
Filed under: uncultured bacterium
Lineage: Bacteria
Description: partial 16S ribosomal RNA
Rfam family: Bacterial small subunit ribosomal RNA
Source: RNAcentral